GAGCGACAAGGGACAAGUGCGGCCCGGAGGCGACCUGUGCGCGAGGAGGCGCUGUGGAGGCUGAGGCCCAGCCCCUCGGAGGAAAGCCGAGAUAGGACGUUUCCUUGCGGGCUGAGCCGUGACUUGUCCCCUGGAGCAACACAUAGAAGAAGUGGCCUUGCAUCCUGCUCCGCCUCCCGAGCCGGGUCCUCGGUUCCCGGAAGCCCUGGGCUGCCCGGCUGGAGUUACCUUCUGUGCGUUCUCUCCUAAACCUACACGCUAUUCACGACUUUGUUGAUGACUAUGGAAAAAGACAAACCAAACCAAAGUCCCCCCGCCUGGCGAUGGUGCAAGGCUGUCUACCUGCUGGAGGAUGGGCUGGGAUCACAGGCGUGUGCCGGCUUGUCUACCUACCUCCAGCUCGACGGCUAAAAGACCUUCUCUUUUACAUCAAGAAAUUAAAAAAAAAAAAAAAUCCAUGGGCAUAUGUGCAUGUGUAGAGGCGAGAAGCCCUCGGAGCUGGGGUUACAGGAGGCUCUGAGUGGCCCGCUGUGUGCAGAGGCCGGAACCCGGAUGCACAGGAAGAGCAGGAAGUGCUCUCAACCCCUGGCUCAUCCCCUCAGCCCAGUCAAUUCAUUUUUUUUAAGCAAGUGCUGUGGGCUGCCCCCCAGAGCCUCUGCUCCUGUGUUUUCUCACCUUCAAGGUCAACAAGAACCACUCCUCAUCCCUUCCCAAGGGCCAAAGCCUCCUGUGCAGCCUCUGCGACCUCGACCUGGCUUUGCCUUGGGGCCAAGAGAGGGCUUCUCAUCUUAUGCCAGCAGGGGUCAUGAUAGGCCAAGGCCACAGGGAAUGGGGACACAGCUGGAGACUGGUACCUGGUCCCCUCUUACCUGCAGCACGGAGAGGUUGGUCUGUCCAGAG
RNAcentral lists this long non-coding RNA (900 nucleotides) under Mus pahari (shrew mouse). RNAcentral describes it as "lncRNA (MGP_PahariEiJ_G0012418.1)". The record is from RNAcentral. Lineage: Eukaryota; Metazoa; Chordata; Mammalia; Rodentia; Muridae.